Long non-coding RNA from Capsella rubella, 3755 nucleotides. RefSeq lists it as uncharacterized. The transcript is spliced from 29 exons. The record is from RefSeq and is a predicted model, not a curated record. Lineage: Eukaryota; Viridiplantae; Streptophyta; Magnoliopsida; Brassicales; Brassicaceae.
GUGUUAAAAAGAACACUACCAAUCUGAUUCAGGAAAACCAAAGCGAUCAAAGAGGCAAAAGCUAGAUUAUGACCUAACAAUGGAAAAUGCCUCCUCUUGCUCUGAAUGGAUCAAAAGAGCGAUAAAAAGCAUGAGAGGAGGACCCGAACGCAGGGGAGCUUGAGGAACAUCUUAAGAAACUACAAGAAAUGAAUGUAGAUGGUACAUAAUUGUGGAUGAGAAGAGUGAUAGAAAGCGUUUAAGGAUGCAUCUGUUUUUUCACAAGCACAACCUUCUAGGGCCAAGAAAGAAGAAGUUCACUAUUAAGCCGUCUUUCAUAAGACUCAACGCACAAAAACAAGACUGCAGGCUCCAGUAAAUCCUGGAGCCAUAUUGUUUCAAAAUCAGCAAGCUUCACCCUAGCUCCAACUUUUUCCUGCACCACAUCUGCCAGAAUUUCAGGAAUUUCAUUUUCAAACAAAGACAUCCUCAGUAGCUUCAACGGAAGUGUCUUUAGUGGAGAAACCAAAAUGUAGAACAAAAACAUUAGUCGGCUUUCUUACAGUAAGUAAUAAUAUCAAACUUAUCGAUGAGAAGGUGUGUGUUCGUGUUACUCAGAUUAAUGUUUUGAAAGAUGAUGAAGUAGAUUCAGAACAAUCACGGUCGUCGGCGUGUUCUUACAGUAACAACAUCAAACUGAUCGAUUAAAAGAUAUGAAGAAGAUUCAGAACAAAAGAUGAUGCAGAUAUACAUGAAGUUCACUUCUUCCUUUGUAUAAUUAUAGGGAUGACCGGCCCAAGUCAACAACAACACAACAGUGGGAAAAAUCCUCUAAUCCAAGCAUUGUUGAUGAAUAAUAUUUGUUGGCAGUAUUGUUUUCGUGUCUCUCAGUGAUGAGUAUUCAGAGGACCUGGCGUUUCUUCUUCAACUCUCAUCGAACUUGACGAGAAACUCCACAAUGAAAAAAGGGAUGGUGUUGAAUUAUGGACCCAAUCGAUGGAGAUAUAUGUACAAGUUGUUAUUUAAGUGGAACUCGACAAGGCACCAUAAUUCAAAGCAAAACUUGUGAACAAAACGGAUGGUGAUGUUUUCCUAAAAGCGGGUUCUUAAGGAGAUAAGUCAAUGGACCUUAAGAAACUGCAAACUGCUAGAAAGAUGGUUAAUCUACUGAGGAACCCAUAUGUACUCAGGCCAAAAGACCAGUCACAGAUGUCUCAAGCCAAUGGCUGAAAAGCGGAAAGAGUGUCAAAACAUAGCUAGCUCUACCAAACUGAUUUAGGAAAAUAUAAACUAGAGGUACUCUCUGAUUCCACAGGUGUGCGUCUGUGUUGGUGUUCCAACUUCCAACUAGGACGAUGACUCAGAGUUUUUUAAAGAAGUACGAAGUAGAUUCAGAACAAAACCGGUCAACGGCAUGUUCUUAUAGUUACAACAGCAAACUGAUUGGUUAAAAGAUCGGAGAUAUGCUAUGUUUUGAAGACUGAAGAAGAUUCAGAACCAAACAAAAACAAAUUUCUCCUUACGGGAUGACCGGCCCAAGUAAAAAACAACAACAAUGGGAAAAAUCAUAUAUAAAAACAGGUGUUUGUAUUCUAACAAGCACGAUGACUCAGAUUUUUUCAAGGACGUACGAAGUCGAUUCAGAACAAAAACGAUCACCAGUGUGUUCUUACAAUAACAACAUCAACAACAGCAACUAUGAGGAAAACCAUCUUUUCAGAAUCCAAGCAUUGUUGAUGAAUAUUAUCUUGUGAAAGUAUUGCCCUUCGUGUCUUUGCAAGUGACAGAUGUUCAGAGGACGUCGUCUUCAUGGCUCUAAUCUAUUGAAGUGGAACUCGACAAGGCACCAGAUUUCAAAUCAAAACUUGUGAACAAAAAGGAUGGUGUUGUUUUCUCAAGGAGAUUGGUGAAUGGACUCUAAGAAGCUGCAAAGUACUAGAAAAAUGGUUAAUUUGCUGAGGAAUCCGUUUGCACUCAGGCAUAAAAAAAAACAGUCUCAGUUGUCUCUUGCCAAUGGCAGUCAUCAGAAAUUUGAAAAGAGAAAAGAGUGUUGAAAACAUAGCUAACUCUACCAAACUCGUUCAGAGAAAUAAAGCUAUCAAAAGGCAAAGCUAGAUCAUGCAAAAUCAAGACAUGGAUACAAGUGUUAAAAAGAACACUACCAAUCUGAUUCAGGAAAAUCAAAGAGGCAAAAGCUAGAUUAUGACCUAACAAUGGAAAAUGCCUCUUCUUGCUCUUUUCAUCGAUCAAAGUAGAUGGUACAUAUUUGUGGAUGAGAAGAGAGAUAGAAAGCGUCUAAGGAGCUGCAUCUGUGUUUUUUCACAAGCACAACCUUCUAGGGCCAAGAAAGAAGAAGUUCACAAUUAAGCUGUCUUAAUAAGACCCAACGCACAAUAACAAGACUGCAGGCUCCAGUAAAUCCUGGAGCCAUAUUGUUUCAAAAUCAGCAAGCUUCACCCUAGCUCCAGCUUUUUCCUUGUACCACAUAUGCCAGAAUUUCAGGAAUUUCAUUUUCAAACAAAGACAUCCUCAGUAGCUUCAACGUAAGUCUUAAGUGGAGAAUCCAAAAUGUAGAACUCUAUGAUUACUUUGAGAAUCAUGUGAAAGGCAGUUGAGAAUGUGUUGUGUCCACGUGAUAUUUAAACUUAAGAGGUAAUUUUUACAAAGUUUAGACUCAUCAUAAGGACUAUUCUUCACUCUGCAUGAAAAAAGAGCCGUAAGGACUAUUUCUUUACAAAGCAAGCAAGCUUUGGGAAAUAACAAAAUUUUGAGGAUGCAGAGUUCAACAAAAAGAUUUCAGAUGCCAGUAGUACUCUCGGUGAUGUGGACGUCUGAGCAUAUAGAAAACAAGGAGAACAUUCCUUACCCAGACCACCCCAGGAGUUUUCUCAAGGAGAUAUGUCGAUGGACCUUAAGAAGCUGCAAACUGCUAGAAAAAUGGUUAAUCUGCUGAGGAAUCCAUCUGCACUCAGGCCAAAAAACCAGUCACAACUGUCAUCAGAAAAUUGUGAAAAGGGAAACAUAGAAAGCUCUACCAAACAGAUUUAGGGAAACAAAUCAAGAUAGAAACCAGCGACUUUGUUUUACAUGACAAUACAAGGUCUUGUUAACACCGAAGUUUGAAAUUCGACCUGUGAAAAAGCAGAGAACAAGAAGAUUUUGGAUGCUCCAGCUUUCAACUACAUUACGUGAUGGAAAGAUCCUCUUCUUUCUCUCAUAUUAGAAGUUAUCUUAGAAUUGUGGAUCACACUAAAAUCAACGAAGGUAAUAUCACAAUAAAAAACAAACAACUCUGCUACACAAGAAAAGUAAUGGUACAAUAAAAGGCAAAUGCCAGGUUUUUUGUAUCUUCUUUGGGAGAUUGAAUCACUGUUAAAUGAGUCUAACAGCAACAUUGCCUUCCUACUGCUUGCACACCCAAACCACCACUGCAGUUUUCUUAAGGAGGAAAGUUGAUGGACCUUAAGAAGCAACAAACUAGGCUGAAUAAUCCAUCUGAACUUAACUUUGGUCUCAUGUUCCUCUCGUAAUGGUUUUUGUUUUGUGUUAUCUAUCUCACUGCAGGGAAACAAGUGUUAAAAAAAUGUAGCUAACUCUCUAUCAGCACUAAACUUACUGCUAGAGAGUUACUUGAUCUGCUGAAGAAUCCAUUUGCACUCCGGCCAAAGAACAUAUAAAAAAUGUAAUUUCUUUUUUUUUUUCCCACAACAUAAGAUUAUAAACACCUCUCUUACUCUGUUUAUAUAAAUGGGCACACUAAAAAACUCUUUUUUUUA